UGGGAAGUAGCUCAGCGGUAGAGUCCCGGCCUUUGACUCCGGUGGUCGCUGGUUCGAAUCCAGCCUUCCCAG
RNAcentral lists this transfer RNA (72 nucleotides) under Sulfitobacter phage vB_SupP_AX. It matches the Rfam family "tRNA". From Rfam's summary of the family: Transfer RNA (tRNA) molecules are approximately 80 nucleotides in length. Lineage: Duplodnaviria; Heunggongvirae; Uroviricota; Caudoviricetes; Schitoviridae. The record is from Rfam by way of RNAcentral.